UUCAGCAACAAGGCAAUCCAAAGUGCUUUUAAAGCUGAAACCCAUGAUAUAAUACACUGUAAUAACAUGCUUAUUUCACUGCAACAGCAGAAAGAUCUAAAGGAACAAAAUCCAUCUCUAUUACAAGCUAAAAACAAAAUGUUCUUCAU
Etheostoma spectabile (orangethroat darter) is the source of this 149-nucleotide long non-coding RNA. RefSeq lists it as uncharacterized. Lineage: Eukaryota; Metazoa; Chordata; Actinopteri; Perciformes; Percidae. The record is from RefSeq and is a predicted model, not a curated record. The transcript is spliced from 3 exons.